Molecule: ribosomal RNA, 253 nt
Filed under: uncultured bacterium
Lineage: Bacteria
Description: partial 16S ribosomal RNA
Rfam family: Bacterial small subunit ribosomal RNA
Source: RNAcentral
UACGUAGGGAGCAAGCGUUGUCCGGAAUUACUGGGCGUAAAGGGCGUGUAGGCGGGAAUUUAAGUAAGGUGUGAAAACUCCGGGCUCAACCUGGAGACUGCACUUUAAACUGAGUUUCUUGAGGGCAGGAGAGGAAAGUGGAAUUCCUAGUGUAGCGGUGAAAUGCGUAGAUAUUAGGAGGAACACCAGUGGCGAAGGCGACUUUCUGGACUGUACCUGACGCUGAGGCGCGAAAGCGUGGGGAGCGAACAGG